GCCAGUAGCUUGGGCGAAGGAACAAGGAUGCAAGGCGGAUGGAGGUCUGGGGUUCGAGCUUCAUCUCACGCACGCAAGGUUGGGAUUUUUGCUGCAUGCGUGGGGAAGGUGUUGGGGUCUGAUCAGGACUCUUGGCAGCAUGCUCUGAGGUGGUGCAAACGGUGGGCUGAUCGGUCAAGAGUUUGAAUGGAAUUCAAACAUUGAAUGUGGCCAAAAAUCAAGGAGCAAUUCGGGGAAUUGGGGAAUUGGAAUUUAGGAAGAAUUCUUAGGCUGAAAUACACACUAGGCCUGUAACAUCCC
Molecule: long non-coding RNA, 300 nt
Filed under: Gossypium barbadense (sea-island cotton)
Lineage: Eukaryota; Viridiplantae; Streptophyta; Magnoliopsida; Malvales; Malvaceae
Description: long non-coding RNA (GBAR_LNC012525)
Source: RNAcentral